RNAcentral lists this ribosomal RNA (253 nucleotides) under uncultured bacterium. Its description in RNAcentral is "partial 16S ribosomal RNA". It matches the Rfam family "Bacterial small subunit ribosomal RNA", at positions 524 to 776 of the family's 1533-position model. The record is from RNAcentral.
UACGUAGGCAGCGAGCGUUGUUCGGAAUUACUGGGCGUAAAGAGUGUGUAGGCGGUGCUCUAAGUUCGGUGUGAAAUCUCCCGGCUUAACUGGGAGGGUGCAUUAGAAACUGGAAUGCUAGAGGAUGGGAGAGGUAAGCGGAAUUCCUGGUGUAGCGGUGAAAUGCGUAGAUAUCAGGAGGAACACCUGUGGUGUAGACAGCUUACUGGACCAUUUCUGACGCUGAGACACGAAAGCGUGGGUAGCAAACAGG